GCGUUUGACCUCAAAUCAGGUAGGAUUACCCGCUGAACUUAAGCAUAUCAAUAA
This 54-nucleotide ribosomal RNA is filed under the name Hyphoderma nudicephalum. RNAcentral's name for it is "partial 28S ribosomal RNA". The record is from RNAcentral. Lineage: Eukaryota; Fungi; Basidiomycota; Agaricomycetes; Polyporales; Hyphodermataceae.